RNAcentral lists this ribosomal RNA (2771 nucleotides) under Klebsiella pneumoniae. RNAcentral's name for it is "bacterial LSU rRNA". It matches the Rfam family "Bacterial large subunit ribosomal RNA". The record is from RNAcentral. Lineage: Bacteria; Pseudomonadati; Pseudomonadota; Gammaproteobacteria; Enterobacterales; Enterobacteriaceae.
AGCGUACACGGUGGAUGCCCUGGCAGUCAGAGGCGAUGAAGGACGUGCUAAUCUGCGAAAAGCGUCGGUAAGGUGAUAUGAACCGUUAUAACCGGCGAUGUCCGAAUGGGGAAACCCAGUGCAAUUCGUUGCACUAUCGUUAACUGAAUACAUAGGUUAACGAGGCGAACCGGGGGAACUGAAACAUCUAAGUACCCCGAGGAAAAGAAAUCAACCGAGAUUCCCCCAGUAGCGGCGAGCGAACGGGGAGCAGCCCAGAGUCUGAAUCAGCUUGUGUGUUAGUGGAACGGUCUGGAAAGUCCGACGGUACAGGGUGAUAGUCCCGUACACCAAAAUGCACAGGCUGUGAACUCGAAGAGUAGGGCGGGACACGUGGUAUCCUGUCUGAAUAUGGGGGGACCAUCCUCCAAGGCUAAAUACUCCUGACUGACCGAUAGUGAACCAGUACCGUGAGGGAAAGGCGAAAAGAACCCCGGCGAGGGGAGUGAAAAAGAACCUGAAACCGUGUACGUACAAGCAGUGGGAGCACCUUCGGGUGUGACUGCGUACCUUUUGUAUAAUGGGUCAGCGACUUAUAUUCUGUAGCAAGGUUAACCGUAUAGGGGAGCCGCAGGGAAACCGAGUCUUAACUGGGCGUUAAGUUGCAGGGUAUAGACCCGAAACCCGGUGAUCUAGCCAUGGGCAGGUUGAAGGUUGGGUAACACUAACUGGAGGACCGAACCGACUAAUGUUGAAAAAUUAGCGGAUGACUUGUGGCUGGGGGUGAAAGGCCAAUCAAACCGGGAGAUAGCUGGUUCUCCCCGAAAGCUAUUUAGGUAGCGCCUCGUGAAUUCAUCUUCGGGGGUAGAGCACUGUUUCGGCUAGGGGGUCAUCCCGACUUACCAACCCGAUGCAAACUACGAAUACCGAAGAAUGUUAUCACGGGAGACACACGGCGGGUGCUAACGUCCGUCGUGAAGAGGGAAACAACCCAGACCGCCAGCUAAGGUCCCAAAGUCAUGGUUAAGUGGGAAACGAUGUGGGAAGGCACAGACAGCCAGGAUGUUGGCUUAGAAGCAGCCAUCAUUUAAAGAAAGCGUAAUAGCUCACUGGUCGAGUCGGCCUGCGCGGAAGAUGUAACGGGGCUAAACCAUGCACCGAAGCUGCGGCAGCGACACUAUGUGUUGUUGGGUAGGGGAGCGUUCUGUAAGCCUGCGAAGGUGACCUGUGAGGGUUGCUGGAGGUAUCAGAAGUGCGAAUGCUGACAUAAGUAACGAUAAAGCGGGUGAAAAGCCCGCUCGCCGGAAGACCAAGGGUUCCUGUCCAACGUUAAUCGGGGCAGGGUGAGUCGACCCCUAAGGCGAGGCCGAAAGGCGUAGUCGAUGGGAAACAGGUUAAUAUUCCUGUACUUGGUGUUACUGCGAAGGGGGGACGGAGAAGGCUAUGUUAGCCGGGCGACGGUUGUCCCGGUUUAAGCAUGUAGGCUGGUUAUCCAGGCAAAUCCGGAUAAUCAAGGCUGAGGUGUGAUGACGAGGCACUACGGUGCUGAAGUAACAAAUGCCCUGCUUCCAGGAAAAGCCUCUAAGCAUCAGGUAACAUCAAAUCGUACCCCAAACCGACACAGGUGGUCAGGUAGAGAAUACCAAGGCGCUUGAGAGAACUCGGGUGAAGGAACUAGGCAAAAUGGUGCCGUAACUUCGGGAGAAGGCACGCUGGUGUGUAGGUGAAGCCCCUGCGGGUGGAGCUGAGACCAGUCGAAGAUACCAGCUGGCUGCAACUGUUUAUUAAAAACACAGCACUGUGCAAACACGAAAGUGGACGUAUACGGUGUGACGCCUGCCCGGUGCCGGAAGGUUAAUUGAUGGGGUUAUCCGUAAGGAGAAGCUCUUGAUCGAAGCCCCGGUAAACGGCGGCCGUAACUAUAACGGUCCUAAGGUAGCGAAAUUCCUUGUCGGGUAAGUUCCGACCUGCACGAAUGGCGUAAUGAUGGCCAGGCUGUCUCCACCCGAGACUCAGUGAAAUUGAACUCGCUGUGAAGAUGCAGUGUACCCGCGGCAAGACGGAAAGACCCCGUGAACCUUUACUAUAGCUUGACACUGAACAUUGAGCCUUGAUGUGUAGGAUAGGUGGGAGGCUUUGAAGCGUGGACGCCAGUCUGCGUGGAGCCAACCUUGAAAUACCACCCUUUAAUGUUUGAUGUUCUAACGUUGGCCCCUGACCGGGGUUGCGGACAGUGUCUGGUGGGUAGUUUGACUGGGGCGGUCUCCUCCCAAAGCGUAACGGAGGAGCACGAAGGUUAGCUAAUCCUGGUCGGACAUCAGGAGGUUAGUGCAAUGGCAUAAGCUAGCUUGACUGCGAGCGUGACGGCGCGAGCAGGUGCGAAAGCAGGUCAUAGUGAUCCGGUGGUUCUGAAUGGAAGGGCCAUCGCUCAACGGAUAAAAGGUACUCCGGGGAUAACAGGCUGAUACCGCCCAAGAGUUCAUAUCGACGGCGGUGUUUGGCACCUCGAUGUCGGCUCAUCACAUCCUGGGGCUGAAGUAGGUCCCAAGGGUAUGGCUGUUCGCCAUUUAAAGUGGUACGCGAGCUGGGUUUAGAACGUCGUGAGACAGUUCGGUCCCUAUCUGCCGUGGGCGCUGGAGAAUUGAGGGGGGCUGCUCCUAGUACGAGAGGACCGGAGUGGACGCAUCACUGGUGUUCGGGUUGUCAUGCCAAUGGCACUGCCCGGUAGCUAAAUGCGGAAGAGAUAAGUGCUGAAAGCAUCUAAGCACGAAACUUGCCCCGAGAUGAGUUCU